UGGGGAAUAUUGCACAAUGGGCGCAAGCCUGAUGCAGCAACGCCGCGUGAGGGACGACGGCCUUCGGGUUGUAAACCUCUUUUGGCAGGGAAGAAGCGAAAGUGACGGUCCCUGCAGAAAAAGCACCGGCUAACUUCGUGCUAGCAGCCGCGGUAAUACGAAGGAUGCAAGCGCUAUCCGGAAUUAUUUGGUUUAAAGGGUGCGUAGGCGGACUAAUAAGUCAGUGGUGAAAGCCUGCAGCUUAACUGCAGAAUUGCCAUUGAUACUGUUAGUCUUGAGUACAGUUGAGGUAGGCGGAAUGUGGCAUGUAGCGGUGAAAUGCUUAGAUAUGACACAGAACACCGAUUGCGAAGGCAGCUUGCUAAGCUGUAACUGACGCUGAGGCACGAAAGCGUGGGGAGCAAACA
RNAcentral lists this ribosomal RNA (407 nucleotides) under uncultured bacterium. Its description in RNAcentral is "bacterial SSU rRNA". It matches the Rfam family "Bacterial small subunit ribosomal RNA", at positions 355 to 774 of the family's 1533-position model. The record is from RNAcentral.